UGUGACUGCCCAGCAGGUAACGUUGAGGUUUCACCCGGCGCAAUUGUGGCUCUUGUAACCAUAAAUGGCCGUUAUAACCUUGCACUGCCAGUGGUGAGCUGCACCAGCUGUGGCCUAAUGUGGUCCCCCUCAGUUAAGGACAUCCUGGGUAGUGGAUAUUGGCCUGGCACCUUAAAUUUCUGCACCCUGUUUUCAAUGGAUGCCUUUCAGUCUUUCUAUGACAUUAAGAAGGCUGCACCAGGGAUGUCACUUAAGGCAUUUGUCAAAAUGCUGGAUGAACGAACAGCCCAUUUUGGAAGGAAUGGCCGAAUAUCAGCUGAUGCCUUCAGUAAAAGUUUCUUGGAGUGGAGUGCUGUAAAGUUUGAGGUGGACAGGAUGUGCAAGGAGCCAUGCUUUAGCUGC
Non-coding RNA from Maylandia zebra (zebra mbuna), 402 nucleotides. Lineage: Eukaryota; Metazoa; Chordata; Actinopteri; Cichliformes; Cichlidae. The record is from RefSeq and is a predicted model, not a curated record.